Molecule: ribosomal RNA, 406 nt
Filed under: uncultured bacterium
Lineage: Bacteria
Description: partial 16S ribosomal RNA
Rfam family: Bacterial small subunit ribosomal RNA
Source: RNAcentral
GAUGAACGCUGACAGAAUGCUUAACACAUCAGCAAUUGAUUGGUGGCGGACGGGUGAGUAACGCGUAAAGAACUUGCCUCACAGCUAGGGAGAACAUUUGGAAACGAAUGCUAAUACCUCAUACUGUGAGAGGGCUUUGCGUCCCAUUAGCUAGUUGGAGAGGUAACGGCUCACCAAGGCGAGGAUGGGUAGCCGGCCUGAGAGGGUGAUCGGCCACAAGGGGACAGGGAAACGGCCAUUACGCAUACGGGAGGCAGGAGUGGGAAAUAGUGGAAGAUAGACCAAAGUCUGAUCAAGGAAUUCUGUGUGCACGAUGAAGUUGUGGGAAGGAAAAGUGCUUUCAGUUGGGAAGCGGUACCAACAGAAGAAGUGACGGCUAAAUACGUGCCAGCAGCCGCGGUAAUUC